GACCUCAGAUCAGGUAGGGAUACCCCCUGAACUUAA
This 36-nucleotide ribosomal RNA is filed under the name Tirmania nivea. RNAcentral's name for it is "partial 28S ribosomal RNA". Lineage: Eukaryota; Fungi; Ascomycota; Pezizomycetes; Pezizales; Pezizaceae. The record is from RNAcentral.